This 22-nucleotide microRNA is filed under the name Lepisosteus oculatus (spotted gar). Its description in RNAcentral is "Loc-Mir-92-P1d_3p (mature (guide))". The record is from RNAcentral. RNAcentral also lists the same sequence under 47 other names. Lineage: Eukaryota; Metazoa; Chordata; Actinopteri; Semionotiformes; Lepisosteidae.
UAUUGCACUCGUCCCGGCCUCC